This is a small nuclear RNA of Impatiens glandulifera, 145 nucleotides long. RefSeq annotates it as U4 spliceosomal RNA. Lineage: Eukaryota; Viridiplantae; Streptophyta; Magnoliopsida; Ericales; Balsaminaceae. The record is from RefSeq and is a predicted model, not a curated record. The transcript has a single exon.
AUCUUUGCGCUUGGGGAAAUGACGCAUCUAGUGAGGUUCUAACCGAGGCGAGUCCAUUGGUGGUUGAAAACUAUUUCCAAACCCCCUCUUCGGCUUUAGUUCUGCUUGAGCCGUCGAGAAUUUUUGAAAAGUAAAACCCGAUAAC